CCUACGGGUGGCAGCAGUGAGGAAUAUUGGUCAAUGGACGAGAGUCUGAACCAGCCAAGUAGCGUGAAGGAUGACUGCCCUAUGGGUUGUAAACUUCUUUUAUAUGGGAAUAAAAUGUUCCCCGUGUGGGAUUUUGUAUGUACCAUAUGAUUAAGGAUCGGCUAACUCCGUGCCAGCAGCCGCGGUAAUACGGAGGAUCCGAGCGUUAUCCGGAUUUAUUGGGUUUAAAGGGAGCGUAGGUGGAGUGUUAAGUCAGUUGUGAAAGUUUGCGGCUCAACCGUAAAAUUGCAGUUGAAACUGGCAGUCUUGAGUACAGUAGAGGUGGGCGGAAUUCGUGGUGUAGCGGUGAAAUGCUUAGAUAUCACGAAGAACUCCGAUUGCGAAGGCAGUUCACUGGACUGCAACUGACACUGAGGCUCGAAAGUGUGGGUAUCAAACAGGAUUAGAUACCCUUGUAGUC
Molecule: ribosomal RNA, 460 nt
Filed under: uncultured bacterium
Lineage: Bacteria
Description: partial 16S ribosomal RNA
Rfam family: Bacterial small subunit ribosomal RNA
Source: RNAcentral